This 453-nucleotide ribosomal RNA is filed under the name uncultured bacterium. RNAcentral describes it as "bacterial SSU rRNA". It matches the Rfam family "Bacterial small subunit ribosomal RNA", at positions 29 to 507 of the family's 1533-position model. The record is from RNAcentral.
AACGAACGCUGGCGGCAGGCCUAAUACAUGCAAGUCGAGCGCUCUAGCAAUAGAGAGCGGCGCACGGGUGCGUAACGCGUGGGAAUGUACCUCUAGGUGCGGAACAACGUCGGGAAACUGACGCUAAUACCGCAUAAUAUCUCCGGAUCAAAGAUUUAUCGCCUAGGGAUCAGCCCGCGUUGGAUUAGCUAGUUGGCGGGGUAACGCCCACCAAGGCGACGAUGUCUAGCUGGUCUGAGAGGAUGAUCAGCCACACUGGGACUGAGACACGGCCCAGACUCCUACGGGAGGCAGCAGUAGGGAAUAUUGGACAAUCGGGGGAACCCUGAUCCAGCCAUGCCGCGUGCAGGAAGACGGCCCUAUGGGUUGUAAACUGCUUUUGUACGGGAAGAAACACCCCCUCGUGAGGGGGCGUUGACGGUACCGUAAGAAUAAGGAUCGGCUAACUCCGUG